This is a long non-coding RNA of Ostrea edulis (European flat oyster), 1156 nucleotides long. RefSeq lists it as uncharacterized. The transcript has 4 exons. Lineage: Eukaryota; Metazoa; Mollusca; Bivalvia; Ostreida; Ostreidae. The record is from RefSeq and is a predicted model, not a curated record.
AAACAAAAACAAAACGGCAUGACUGUGAGUUCAGGUCAGGAACAGUUACUGUGCAUAUUUAAAUGGAUUAUACGCCAAAUUAAAUGUGCAGUGGUUAAAAGCUGAAUUAAAUAUACAGGAAGAUAACAAGCGGUGACUGGAUUUAUGCUGCAUCGUGUUGGAGGAGACGUUGAACACUGGUUAUGUCGUUGGAAUGGUGGAAUGCAAUUCGGCUCCAUUUCAAUAUCGAGAAAAACGUUCAAAAGGCACUCGUUGACUGAGCCCUAUAUAACGCAGUUCAAUUUCAUUGAUAUUUACCAGAUCAGAAGUCGCCACUUCCUCCGUCAUGUUAUCGAUCUCGUAAAGCAGACGAUUCAUACCGGGAACUCGUGAAUCUGUCUACUUCUACCAUAUUCUCCAGGAUGAAAGACGAAGAAAACGAGCAGUGACCAAUACCAUAACUCGUAUAAGUAAUACAAAAACAUUGGGCAAACACGGACCCCUGGAUAUACCAGAGGUGUUAUCAGGAGCCUAGUAGAUAUUGUGGUACAUUGAUUCGUUUUGACAAAGAAGAAAAUGAAGUAAAUUAUUCUGUAAGACAACUAAAGUACGCGACAUCCAAGGUGAAAACAGGGUUUAGGAGAAAUAAAUCCAUUGCCGAUAUUGGCAACCAAUCUGUGAUCUUCCAUGAUGUUUUGGUGGAAAGAAAUUCAUUCGGAGGUCAUUGCGUCCUCGUAGCGGUUUGAGAACAAAAUGAACACUUUUUAGCAGUUGUAACUAAUGUACGCUUCUUUGUUGACUUCAUCGGUGUAAUAAUUUUAUCAUGCAAUAUGCGUAAUUACGCCGCUAUUUUUAGAUAAGUGUCUGAUCAACUCUAGUCUUGCAGAUUUCAACACAUCCACUUUACCUCGAAUUUCCUCAUCAAGUUUUAGAAUACGAAAUAAAAAAUCAUUAACACAGAAUUUAAAAGCGUAACCACUGCUGUCCAUGCAAAUUUCAUUUAAUAAAAUCUUAUCAACUUUACUUGCUUCUAUAAACAGGGAUCUGUAGCCUCUUUUGUUCAUUAUUACUUGUAAACAAACGCCGCAUGUGUUAGUUGUUUUAAUUGUGGGUGCAGACAUUAAAAUAUCAGAAAUUUCUUCUUGUAACUGAUUGGUCAAAGAAAUGAUGAAGAUGU